This 2740-nucleotide long non-coding RNA is filed under the name Sus scrofa (pig). Its description in RNAcentral is "lncRNA (ENSSSCG00035002885.1)". The record is from RNAcentral. Lineage: Eukaryota; Metazoa; Chordata; Mammalia; Artiodactyla; Suidae.
GGCUGCACCUGGAGCAUAUGGAAGUUCCCAGGCUAGGGAUUGAAUCAGAGCUGCAGCUGCUAGCCUACGCCACAGCCACAGCAAUGUCAGAACUGAGCCAUGUCUGCGAUCUACGCCACAGCUCAUGGUGACACCAGAUCCUUAACCCACUGAGUGAGGCCAGGGAUUGAAUCUGUACCCUCAUAGAUACUAGUCAGUUUCAUUACUGCUGAGCCACAAUGGGAGCUCCCAUGGCUGUUUUAAUUGAGCCAAAAAAGAUCUUAUUUACUGAUCUUAUCUCCCUCUUUUCUCCCCCCAGGUAGUGUACCAUAUGAUUAAGCAAUUCCACUUCUCUGUAUAUAUCUAUAAGAAUUAAAACCAAGGUCUUAUAAAGAUAUUUGUAUACCCACGUUUAUAGCGGCACUACUCACAAUAGCCAAAGGAUAGAAGCAACCCUGGUGUUUACUGAUCAAUAAAUGAAUAAACAAAAUGUAGUAUAUCCAUGCAAUGGAACAUUACUUAACUUUGAAAAGGGAAGAGAUUCUGGAGUUUCCACUGUGCUGCAGUGGGUUAAGUAUCCCACUGCAGUGGCUUAGAUCGCUAUGGAAGCAGGAGUUCAAUCCCUGGCCUGGAUCAUUGGGUUAAAGGAUCCAGCAUUGCCACUUUAAUUUGCAUAGUUUACAGCUGAGGCUUGGAUUCAAUCCCUGGCCCAGGGAACUUCCAUUUGCUGUGGGUGCGGCCAUAAAAAAAUAAAUAAAUAAAAGGAAUGGAAUGCUGACACAUGCCACAACAUGGAUUAUCCUUGAAGUUAUGCUAAAUGAAGUCACAAAAGGACAAAUAUUGUAUGAUUUCACUUAUCUGAGGUAUUUAGGGUAGUUGGAAUGCUUAGAUAUGGAAUGUAGCGUGGUGAUUGCCAGGGGCUGGGGAGAGGGGGGAAUGGAGAGUUAUUGAUUAAUGCAUACAGCGACAGGUCCAGUUUUGUAAGACGAAAAGUGUUCUGGAGAUGGAUGGAUGGAUGUCAUUACAUAACAAUAUGAAUGUACUGAAUGCCACUGUUCUAUACACCAGAAAAUGGUGAAUGUUAAGUGUAUUUUACCACAAUUUAAACAAAAUUAAAAAGUGUAUCAUUUAGAAAUCCUUCUGUUGCAGGUUUCAGAAAAGUAGAAUCCAAACAAGCUUAAGCAAAAUGGAUUAUAGCUAACCCAUAGAAGAAGAAGAGCUCCGCAAAGGUUGGGCUUUAGCACAGCCUGGUCCAGAGUCCAGGCAAGGUUGCAGCAAUGAUUUCUUUGCUCUCAGAGCUACCUUCCACUUUGUGGUCUUCAUGCUCCAUCUCUGUGUCUUGGCAAGGUGGCUGCAGCAAGACUCCACUCAAAUCACAUCCAUCAGGGGAGGAGCAAAAGCCUUUUUUUCCCAGGAAGUCCCAUUUAUUCCUAUAAUGUCUCCUUGGUCUUGAUUGGGUUAUCACCCCAGGCCCCAGCCAAUCACUGUGCCAGGGGAAUUCAAUGCCCUGAUUGGCUUAGGUGGAGGUGAUGUCACUGGCAGCACAGAAUGAGAGUCAGAAUGGGAUGAUCCCCCAGAGGGGUCUAUAUCUGGUCACCAAAAAGCAAUGCCACUAAAGGAUUGUGUAACUUAUCUUCCUAUGCUAUGAAAAACUUUCAUAUACUUCCAUUUUUAUGGAACAGUAUCUAACCACAUCAACAUACCCUAAUGUAUUAAACAUCCUCCAACUCCUUUGGUAAAUGUUGCAAAGUUGCUUUCCAGAAAUACUCUUUUACUAUUCAUUCCCAUCGGCAAAGCCUAAGAGCAACUGUCUCACCACUCCCUCACCUAUAGUUCUUUCUAGUAUUAGUAAUUUGAUGAAUGAAAAUAAUGUUAAUUUGCAUUGCUAGCUGACCUAGACUAUAUCUUCCCUACAUUUUGGUUACCCAAAGGCCUUCGACCUUCCAGAAGGUACAGUAGUUGCUGCCUUUCAUCCACACUGGUCCAGGGCCAUGCUCAAGAAUCAUAUUUGGUACCAUGAUCUACGUGCAGAGAGAGGGCCAGAGGGAUCCAGAGGUGCCUGGGUGCUCUUCGGGAAGACUGAACGCCUUUAGCCCAGAGCCUGGCACAUGGUAAACAUUCGACAAGUACUUAGCAUUGCUCUUGUAAGUAUGAUGUCUCAUCUUACUAUCACUAUUUCUAUCACCCCAGAGGCAGCUCUGCCCUCCCCUUCUGCAGAGCUCCUACUUUGGCUGUGCUCUCCAUUAGGGAUGCUUCAUGCUCCUCCCCACUGUCCUCCACCUGGGACCAUAGAUCCUAUCCUGCCUUUCAGUGCCUGCCCAGACUCCCCUCCUCCACACAGCCUGUGUUCUGAGCAAUGGCAUCCUGUUGGAUUUGCUUGACAACCCCUGCAAAGGGCCCUAGGACUGCUGUCUGCUCUUGGCUUCAGUUGGUCAAAUUGCAUCCUUCCUGGAAUUUGAUGCACCCAGCGAACCAGCUCUGUGUUCACAGUGGAUCUGAAGUACCUUCUGGGCAGGCCUCUGAACUUAUCUCUGCAUAUGUACUUGGACACCUCGGGGUGCUCCAUAGAGUAUGUUGGCCAAGCUGGCUCUGCGUCCAUGGCUGCCAGCUCAGCCUCGUCCCCCUCUCUAUAUUUGAUGCCCAGACAGUUUGACAUUACUCUGCUGCAGCAAUUCUUAACCAAAGCCUCUGUAGCAUUAUCUCUCCCAGGACUUAGGAAUUACAGAAAUAGAAUCAUCACAUGCCUUUGCUAUGAGAGAGU